CCUACGGGUGGCAGCAGUGGGGGAUAUUGCACAAUGGGGGGAACCCUGAUGCAGCGACGCCGCGUGGGUGAAGGAGCGUUUCGGCGCGUAAAGCCCUAUCGGCAGGGAAGAAGGAGGACGGUACCGGACGAAGAAGCCCCGGCUAACUACGUGCCAGCAGCCGCGGUAAGACGGAGGGGGCAAGCGUUCUCCGGAUUUACUGGGUGGAAAGGGGGCGCAGACGGCAGCGCAAGCCAGGAGUGAAAGCCCGGGGCCCAACCCCGGGACUGCUCUUGGAACUGCGCGGCUGGCGUGCAGGAGGGGCAGGCGGCAUUCCUGGUGUAGCGGUGAACUGCUUAGAUAUCCGGAG
This 349-nucleotide ribosomal RNA is filed under the name uncultured bacterium. Its description in RNAcentral is "partial 16S ribosomal RNA". It matches the Rfam family "Bacterial small subunit ribosomal RNA", at positions 338 to 703 of the family's 1533-position model. The record is from RNAcentral.